UGUUGUGAAGAUGUUCACAUUUGUAGAUCCAGCCUCACUGGCUGCUCUGCAGGAAACCAUCUUCAUCCAUUGCAGUACAGAGGUGUGCCAUCCAUCAUCUGGCUCUUGUGAGCAACGCUGCACCAGGAAACGAAGAGAUACUCCUAUCAAGGCUGUCUCUGGGGAGCAGACUGUGGUUUCUAGUGGAGCAGUUACUCUGGUCAUGUAAAUCUAGUUUUUAAUAAACUUUGCAGAACCCUGAGG
Long non-coding RNA from Carassius auratus (goldfish), 243 nucleotides. RefSeq lists it as uncharacterized. The record is from RefSeq and is a predicted model, not a curated record. The transcript is spliced from 3 exons. NCBI's taxonomy places the organism in Eukaryota, Metazoa, Chordata, Actinopteri, Cypriniformes, Cyprinidae.